This 293-nucleotide ribosomal RNA is filed under the name uncultured bacterium. Its description in RNAcentral is "partial 16S ribosomal RNA". It matches the Rfam family "Bacterial small subunit ribosomal RNA", at positions 775 to 1067 of the family's 1533-position model. The record is from RNAcentral.
GGAUUAGAUACCCUGGUAGUCCACGCCGUAAACGAUGUCGACUAGUUGUCGGGACUCUUGCAGUCUUGGUAACGUAGCUAACGCGAUAAGUCGACCGCCUGGGGAGUACGGCCGCAAGGUUAAAACUCAAAUGAAUUGACGGGGGCCCGCACAAGCGGUGGAGCAUGUGGUUUAAUUCGAAGCAACGCGAAGAACCUUACCUGGCCUUGACAUCCUGCGAACCCUUUAGAGAUAAAGGGGUGCCUUCGGGAGCGCAGAGACAGGUGCUGCAUGGCUGUCGUCAGCUCGUGCCG